CGAGGUGUAGCUCAGUUUGGUAGAGUGCUUGGUUUGGAACCAAGAUGCCGCAGGUUUUAGCUCUGUCACCUCGACCA
RNAcentral lists this transfer RNA (77 nucleotides) under Oscillospiraceae bacterium. Its description in RNAcentral is "tRNA-Pro". It matches the Rfam family "tRNA". Rfam says of the family: Transfer RNA (tRNA) molecules are approximately 80 nucleotides in length. Their secondary structure includes four short double-helical elements and three loops (D, anti-codon, and T loops). Further hydrogen bonds mediate the characteristic L-shaped molecular structure. tRNAs have two regions of fundamental functional importance: the anti-codon, which is responsible for specific mRNA codon recognition, and the 3' end, to which the tRNAs corresponding amino acid is attached (by aminoacyl-tRNA synthetases). tRNAs cope with the degeneracy of the genetic code in two manners: having more than one tRNA (with a specific anti-codon) for a particular amino acid; and 'wobble' base-pairing, i.e. permitting non-standard base-pairing at the 3rd anti-codon position. The record is from RNAcentral. Lineage: Bacteria; Bacillati; Bacillota; Clostridia; Eubacteriales; Oscillospiraceae.